This 301-nucleotide ribosomal RNA is filed under the name uncultured bacterium. Its description in RNAcentral is "partial 16S ribosomal RNA". It matches the Rfam family "Bacterial small subunit ribosomal RNA", at positions 509 to 807 of the family's 1533-position model. The record is from RNAcentral.
CAGUCGCCGCGGGAAUACAGAGGUCCCGAGCGUUGUUCGGGUUCACUGGGCGUAAAGGGUGUGUAGGAGGUUUGGUAAGUCAGGUGUGAAAUCCCGCAGCUCAACUGCGGAACUGCCUUUGAUACUGGGUAUCUUGAGUAUGGAAGAGGUUAGUGGAAUUGCGAGUGUAGAGGUGAAAUUCGUAGAUAUUCGCAGGAACACCAGUGGCGAAGGCGGCUAACUGGUCCAUAACUGACGCUGAGGUGCGAAAGCGUGGGGAGCAAACAGGAUUAGAUACCCCAGUAGUCCCUGUCUCUUAUAC